UUUAAGCGAUAACAAGAUGUCUGCAGGAACCGUCCUGGCCUUCAGCAAAGCAGCUGCAAAUUGUCCAAGAGUUUCCAAGCUUCAAAUAAGGAAGAGCACCUUAAUAAUCUCCUUUGUCAACCUGUCUCCAAAAGAACCUAGAUUAAAAGAUAUGGGAAUUAAUGAAGAAGAAAUUGCUCCUAAACCCAGUUUAAUUUUACA
This is a non-coding RNA of Thamnophis sirtalis, 201 nucleotides long. The record is from RefSeq and is a predicted model, not a curated record. Lineage: Eukaryota; Metazoa; Chordata; Lepidosauria; Squamata; Natricidae.